UCAAAUACAAUGUUUUUUCAUGCCCUAUAACCUUUAAACAUCUCAAUUUGAUCCUUAUAUCUCAAACCCUAAUUCAUUUGGCUUUGUUUCUUAAUGAAACUUAUGGCUCAAGAAACCCUAGUUUGAGGAUUCCAUGGUCAUUGACCUUGAUCAUUUUUGACCAUCCAAUCACCCAACCAUUAAUUCAACAUCAUUUCAUG
Molecule: long non-coding RNA, 200 nt
Filed under: Lathyrus oleraceus (garden pea)
Lineage: Eukaryota; Viridiplantae; Streptophyta; Magnoliopsida; Fabales; Fabaceae
Description: Pisum sativum (pea) long non-coding RNA (PSAT_LNC015038)
Source: RNAcentral